AGAGCGAACGCUGGCGGCAGGCCUAACACAUGCAAGUCGAGCGCCCCGCAAGGGGAGCGGCAGACGGGAGAGUAACACGUGGGAACGUACCCUUCAGUUCGGAACAACCCAGGGAAACUUGGGCUAAUACCGAAUACGUCCGUAAGGAGAAAGAUUUAUCGCUGAAGGAUCGGCCCGCGUCUGAUUAGCUAGUUGGUGAGGUAACGGCUCACCAAGGCUACGAUCAGUAGCUGGUCUGAGAGGAUGAUCAGCCUCACUGGGACUGAGACACGGCCCAGACUCCUACGGGAGGUAGCAGUGGGGAAUAUUGGACAAUGGGCGCAAGCCUGAUCCAGCCAUGCCGCGUGGAUGAUGAAGGCCUUAGGGUUGUAAAGUCCUUUCGGCGGGGAAGAUAAUGACGGUACCCGCAGAAGAAGCCCGGCUAACUUCGUGCCAGCAGCCGC
RNAcentral lists this ribosomal RNA (443 nucleotides) under uncultured bacterium. Its description in RNAcentral is "SSU rRNA". It matches the Rfam family "Bacterial small subunit ribosomal RNA", at positions 26 to 518 of the family's 1533-position model. The record is from RNAcentral.